This 937-nucleotide ribosomal RNA is filed under the name Pectobacterium atrosepticum. RNAcentral's name for it is "bacterial SSU rRNA". It matches the Rfam family "Bacterial small subunit ribosomal RNA", at positions 198 to 1118 of the family's 1533-position model. The record is from RNAcentral. Lineage: Bacteria; Pseudomonadati; Pseudomonadota; Gammaproteobacteria; Enterobacterales; Pectobacteriaceae.
GGACCAAAGAGGGGGACCUUCGGGCCUCUUGCCAUCAGAUGUGCCCAGAUGGGAUUAGCUAGUAGGCGGGGUAAUGGCCCACCUAGGCGACGAUCCCUAGCUGGUCUGAGAGGAUGACCAGCCACACUGGAACUGAGACACGGUCCAGACUCCUACGGGAGGCAGCAGUGGGGAAUAUUGCACAAUGGGCGCAAGCCUGAUGCAGCCAUGCCGCGUGUGUGAAGAAGGCCUUCGGGUUGUAAAGCACUUUCAGCGGGGAGGAAGGCAGUAAGGUUAAUAACCUUGCUGAUUGACGUUACCCGCAGAAGAAGCACCGGCUAACUCCGUGCCAGCAGCCGCGGUAAUACGGAGGGUGCAAGCGUUAAUCGGAAUGACUGGGCGUAAAGCGCACGCAGGCGGUCUGUUAAGUUGGAUGUGAAAUCCCCGGGCUUAACCUGGGAACUGCAUUCAAAACUGACAGGCUAGAGUCUUGUAGAGGGGGGUAGAAUUCCAGGUGUAGCGGUGAAAUGCGUAGAGAUCUGGAGGAAUACCGGUGGCGAAGGCGGCCCCCUGGACAAAGACUGACGCUCAGGUGCGAAAGCGUGGGGAGCAAACAGGAUUAGAUACCCUGGUAGUCCACGCUGUAAACGAUGUCGACUUGAGGUUGUGCCCUUGAGGCGUGGCUUCCGGAGCUAACGCGUUAAGUCGACCGCCUGGGGAGUACGGCCGCAAGGUUAAACUCAAAUGAAUUGACGGGGGCCCGCACAAGCGGUGGGAGCAUGUGUUUUAAUUCGAUGCAACGCGAAGAACUUACUACUCUUGACUUCAGAAGAAUUUAGCUAGAGAUGCUUAGUGCCUUCGGGAACUCUGAGACAGGUGCUGCAUGGCUGUCGUCAGCUCGUGUUGUGUAAAUGUUGGGUUAAGUCCCGCAACGAGCGCAACCCUUAUCCUUUGUUGC